RNAcentral lists this ribosomal RNA (536 nucleotides) under Epiclines basalis. Its description in RNAcentral is "partial 16S ribosomal RNA". It matches the Rfam family "Bacterial large subunit ribosomal RNA", at positions 1805 to 2615 of the family's 2925-position model. The record is from RNAcentral. Lineage: Eukaryota; Metazoa; Arthropoda; Insecta; Coleoptera; Cleridae.
UAACAAAAACAUGUCUUUUUGAUUAUAAUUUAAAGUCUAAUCUGCCCACUGAGGAAUUAAAUGGCCGCGGUAUUUUGACCGUGCAAAGGUAGCAUAAUAAUUAGUUUUUUAAUUGAAAGCUGGAAUGAAUGAUUGAAUGAGAAAAAAACUGUCUCUAAUUAAUUUAUAUUGAAUUUUAUUUUUAAGUAAAAAAGCUUAAAUUUUAUUAAAAGACGAGAAGACCCUAUAGAGUUUUAUAAAACAAAAAUUUAUUGUAUUUAGUUUAAAAAAUUUAAAUUGUAAGUUUUAUUUUGUUGGGGUGAUAGAAAAAUUUAAUAAACUUUUUUUUAUUUAAUACAUUAAUGAAUGAAUUAUUGAUCCAAUUUUUUUGAUUAAAAGAUAAAAUUACCUUAGGGAUAACAGCGUAAUUUUUUUUGAGAGUUCUUAUCGAAAAAAAAGAUUGCGACCUCGAUGUUGGAUUAAAAUUAAUUUUUGGUGUAGAAGCUAAAAAAUUAGGUCUGUUCGACCUUUAAAAUUUUACAUGAUCUGAGUUCAGA